RNAcentral lists this ribosomal RNA (356 nucleotides) under Nematopalaemon tenuipes. RNAcentral describes it as "partial 28S ribosomal RNA". The record is from RNAcentral. Lineage: Eukaryota; Metazoa; Arthropoda; Malacostraca; Decapoda; Palaemonidae.
UCAGAAGAGAGAAUUCAAAGGAUGUGAAGCCAAUAGGAGCCCAAACGGGUGGAACCGUAAAGGUCGAAAGAGGGGAUUCAGCCGGCCGGUCUUCGGCGGCGGUGGGCUUGAACUUUGGUGUGUGAGAGGACCCGGGGUAAUAGUGAGUUGCCGUGGCACUGCCCCUGCUGUCAGGAGCGCUGGCCGGCUUACUUUUCCGUCGAGUAGUGGUCGUCGCGACCCGCCGGCCGGGCCCCGAUGGGCCGUGCUGGACUGUCAGCCUGUGCCUUACGGCGCAGGUGAGGACUGGCUGCGGUUCCGACUGGGCCUGGCCGGCGGUCACUGCAAGGAGGCCGCCCCAAAGCCGGCCCCUACUA